Molecule: ribosomal RNA, 550 nt
Filed under: uncultured bacterium
Lineage: Bacteria
Description: bacterial SSU rRNA
Rfam family: Bacterial small subunit ribosomal RNA
Source: RNAcentral
UAGGGAAUCUUCGGCAAUGGACGGAAGUCUGACCGAGCAACGCCGCGUGAGUGAAGAAGGUUUUCGGAUCGUAAAGCUCUGUUGUUAGAGAAGAACGUUGGUAGGAGUGGAAAAUCUACCAAGUGACGGUAACUAACCAGAAAGGGACGGCCAACUACGUGCCAGCAGCCGCGGUAAUACGUAGGUCCCGAGCGUUGUCCGGAUUUAUUGGGCGUAAAGCGAGCGCAGGCGGUUCUUUAAGUCUGAAGUUAAAGGCAGUGGCUUAACCAUUGUACGCUUUGGAAACUGGAGGACUUGAGUGCAGAAGGGGAGAGUGGAAUUCCAUGUGUAGCGGUGAAAUGCGUAGAUAUAUGGAGGAACACCGGUGGCGAAAGCGGCUCUCUGGUCUGUAACUGACGCUGAGGCUCGAAAGCGUGGGGAGCAAACAGGAUUAGAUACCCUGGUAGUCCACGCCGUAAACGAUGAGUGCUAGGUGUUAGGCCCUUUCCGGGGCUUAGUGCCGCAGCUAACGCAUUAAGCACUCCGCCUGGGGAGUACGACCGCAAGGUUG